RNAcentral lists this ribosomal RNA (520 nucleotides) under bacterium btn 7a-3. RNAcentral's name for it is "bacterial SSU rRNA". It matches the Rfam family "Bacterial small subunit ribosomal RNA", at positions 335 to 848 of the family's 1533-position model. The record is from RNAcentral.
ACUCCUACGGGAGGCAGCAGUGGGGAAUUUUGGACAAUGGGCGAAAGCCUGAUCCAGCAAUGCCGCGUGUGUGAAGAAGGCCUUCGGGUUGUAAAGCACUUUUGUCCGGAAAGAAAUCCUUGGCUCUAAUACAGUCGGGGGAUGACGGUACCGGAAGAAUAAGCACCGGCUAACUACGUGCCAGCAGCCGCGGUAAUACGUAGGGUGCGAGCGUUAAUCGGAAUUACUGGGCGUAAAGCGUGCGCAGGCGGUUUGCUAAGACCGAUGUGAAAUCCCCGGGCUCAACCUGGGAACUGCAUUGGUGACUGGCAGGCUAGAGUAUGGCAGAGGGGGGUAGAAUUCCACGUGUAGCAGUGAAAUGCGUAGAGAUGUGGAGGAAUACCGAUGGCGAAGGCAGCCCCCUGGGCCAAUACUGACGCUCAUGCACGAAAGCGUGGGGAGCAAACAGGAUUAGAUACCCUGGUAGUCCACGCCCUAAACGAUGUCAACUAGUUGUUGGGGAUUCAUUUCCUUAGUAACG